This 355-nucleotide ribosomal RNA is filed under the name uncultured bacterium. RNAcentral's name for it is "bacterial SSU rRNA". It matches the Rfam family "Bacterial small subunit ribosomal RNA", at positions 8 to 350 of the family's 1533-position model. The record is from RNAcentral.
AGAGUUUGAUCAUGGCUCAGGAUGAACGCUAGCUACAGGCUUAACACAUGCAAGUCGAGGGGAAACGACAUCGAAAGCUUGCUUUUGAUGGGCGUCGACCGGCGCACGGGUGAGUAACGCGUAUCCAACCUGCCCAUCACUUGGGGAUAACCUUGCGAAAGUAAGACUAAUACCCAAUGAUAUCUCUAGAAGGCAUCUGAAAGAGAUUAAAGAUUUAUCGGUGAUGGAUGGGGAUGCGUCUGAUUAGCUUGGUUGGCGGGGUAACGGCCCACCAAAGCAACGAUCAGUAGGGGUUCUGAGAGGAAGGUCCCCCACAUUGGAACUGAGACACGGUCCAAACUCCGUACGGAGGGCA